AGCGAACGCUGGCGGCAGGCCUAACACAUGCAAGUCGAACGAACCUUUCGGGGUUAGUGGCGGACGGGUGAGUAACACGUGGGAACGUGCCUUUAGGUUCGGAAUAACUCAGGGAAACUUGUGCUAAUACCGAAUGUGCCCUUCGGGGGAAAGAUUAAUCGCCUUUAGAGCGGCCCGCGUCUGAUUAGCUAGUUGGUUGAGGUAAUGGCUCACCAAGGCCACGAUCAGUAGCUGGUCUGAGAGGAUGAUCAGCCACAUUGGGACUGAGACACGGCCCAAACUCCUACGGGAGGCAGCAGUGGGGAAUCUUGCGCAAUGGGCGAAAGCCUGACGCAGCCAUGCCGCGUGAAUGAUGAAGGUCUUAGGAUUGUAAAAUUCUUUCACCGGGGACGAUAAUGACGGUACCCGGAGAAGAAGCCCCGGCUAACUUCGUG
This 434-nucleotide ribosomal RNA is filed under the name uncultured bacterium. RNAcentral describes it as "partial 16S ribosomal RNA". It matches the Rfam family "Bacterial small subunit ribosomal RNA", at positions 29 to 507 of the family's 1533-position model. The record is from RNAcentral.